AGCUUCCUCAGGAUGAGAAUAUGUGAGAAGGACAACUCUGCAGAUACCAAGGUCAGUGAAGAAGGAGGGCAGGAGGUGCUCCAGGGAUUCCCCUGCAGCCUGUGGUGCAGCUCACAGUGAAGCAGCUGUGCCCCAGCAGCCCUUGAAGGUUCAUAUGGGAUGUAAAUAUUCACCUGCAGCCCUUGGAGGAGACUCAUACCAGAGCAGACGGAUGCCUGAGAGGAGGCUGUGACCCUGUGGGAGGCCCAUGGACAGAGAAUCCUGAGAUGCAGCUACCUAUACCUGAAGGACUGCACCCUCUGGAAGAAUGACCCACUCUUCCCAAUAAAGUGUUUGGUCAAAAGAAAGAGCAUUAAAUGCACCUCAGGGCAGAAAGCAAAAAUUACAAAGGCAAGAAAAUAUCAAAGAAGCGCACUAAAGGGAAUAUGCCACAGGCUACCUUGGUUUUACACGGAAAAGUAG
Molecule: long non-coding RNA, 462 nt
Filed under: Cyanistes caeruleus (blue tit)
Lineage: Eukaryota; Metazoa; Chordata; Aves; Passeriformes; Paridae
Description: lncRNA (ENSCCEG00000012368.1)
Source: RNAcentral